CCUACGGGUGGCAGCAGUGGGGAAUAUUGCACAAUGGGGGAAACCCUGAUGCAGCGACGCCGCGUGAGUGAAGAAGUAUUUCGGUAUGUAAAGCUCUAUCAGCAGGGAAGAAAAAAGACGGUACCUGACUAAGAAGCCCCGGCUAACUACAUGCCAGCAGCCGAGGUAAUACGUAGGGGGCAAGCGUUAUCCGGCUUUACUGGGUGAAAAGGGUGCGUAGGCGGACUGUUAAGUCAGCGGGAAAGGCCCGGGGCUCAACCCCGGCGAGCCGUUGAAACUGGCUGUCUUGAGAUGUCGAGAGGUAUGCGGAAUGCGCAGUGUAGCGGUGAAAUGCUUAGAUAUUGCGCAGAACUCCGAUUGCGAAGGCAGCAUACCGGCGGCGAUCUGACGCUGAGGCACGAAAGCGUGGGUAUCGAACAGGAUUAGAUACCCCUGUAGUC
Molecule: ribosomal RNA, 440 nt
Filed under: uncultured bacterium
Lineage: Bacteria
Description: partial 16S ribosomal RNA
Rfam family: Bacterial small subunit ribosomal RNA
Source: RNAcentral